GACGGUAUUUAAUUUUUUAGAGGAAUAUGUAAUUUAAUCGUCAUUACACGUUAAUUUUACUUAUUUUAUUUUUGUAUACCACCGUUAAUAGAUUUUAUUAUAUAUUUUAAUAAAUUUCUAAAUAAACUAAUUUUAUUAUAUCAGGUCAAGGUGCAAAACAAAUAAGUUAUUAUGUAUUACAUUCAAAUAUAUUGUAAUGGAAAAUUAUUGAAAUUUUAUUUGAAAUUGAAUCUACAAGUAAAAUAAUAAUAAAAUAUUAUUUGAAAUAAUAUUAAAU
This 277-nucleotide ribosomal RNA is filed under the name Cephalofovea tomahmontis. RNAcentral describes it as "partial 12S ribosomal RNA". Lineage: Eukaryota; Metazoa; Onychophora; Udeonychophora; Euonychophora; Peripatopsidae. The record is from RNAcentral.